RNAcentral lists this ribosomal RNA (496 nucleotides) under uncultured bacterium. Its description in RNAcentral is "bacterial SSU rRNA". It matches the Rfam family "Bacterial small subunit ribosomal RNA", at positions 25 to 518 of the family's 1533-position model. The record is from RNAcentral.
CAGGAUGAACGCUAGCUACAGGCUUAACACAUGCAAGUCGAGGGGUAGCAGGGUAGCAAUACCGCUGACGACCGGCGCACGGGUGAGUAACACGUAUCCAACCUUCCCAUAACUCAGGGAUAGCCUUUCGAAAGAAAGAUUAAUACCUGAUAGUACUUUUUCAAGGCAUCUUGAGAAAGUUAAAGAUUUAUUGGUUAUGGAUGGGGAUGCGUUCCAUUAGAUAGUUGGUGAGGUAACGGCUCACCAAGUCUUCGAUGGAUAGGGGUUCUGAGAGGAAGGUCCCCCACAUUGGUACUGAGACACGGACCAAACUCCUACGGGAGGCAGCAGUGAGGAAUAUUGGUCAAUGGGCGAGAGCCUGAACCAGCCAAGUAGCGUGAAGGAUGAAGGUCCUAUGGAUUGUAAACUUCUUUUAUAGUAGAAUAAAGUGAUCCACGUGUGGAUUUUUGUAUGUAUACUAUGAAUAAGGAUCGGCUAACUCCGUGCCAGCCGCAGC